UUCACAAUUGUGUCCCCCACUGAUGGGUGCUU
This 32-nucleotide non-coding RNA is filed under the name Homo sapiens (human). Lineage: Eukaryota; Metazoa; Chordata; Mammalia; Primates; Hominidae. The record is from RNAcentral.